AACGAACGCUGGCGGCAUGCCUAACACAUGCAAGUCGAACGAGACCUUCGGGUCUAGUGGCGCACGGGUGCGUAACGCGUGGGAAUCUGCCCUUGGGUUCGGAAUAACAGCGAGAAAUUGCUGCUAAUACCGGAUGAUGACGUAAGUCCAAAGAUUUAUCGCCCAAGGAUGAGCCCGCGUAGGAUUAGCUAGUUGGUGAGGUAAAGGCUCACCAAGGCGACGAUCCUUAGCUGGUCUGAGAGGAUGAUCAGCCACACUGGGACUGAGACACGGCCCAGACUCCUACGGGAGGCAGCAGUGGGGAAUAUUGGACAAUGGGCGAAAGCCUGAUCCAGCAAUGCCGCGUGAGUGAUGAAGGCCUUAGGGUGUAAAGCUCUUUUACCCGGGAUGAUAAUGACAGUACCGGGAGAAUAAGCUCCGGCUAA
Molecule: ribosomal RNA, 425 nt
Filed under: uncultured bacterium
Lineage: Bacteria
Description: bacterial SSU rRNA
Rfam family: Bacterial small subunit ribosomal RNA
Source: RNAcentral